This 553-nucleotide ribosomal RNA is filed under the name uncultured bacterium. RNAcentral describes it as "bacterial SSU rRNA". It matches the Rfam family "Bacterial small subunit ribosomal RNA", at positions 119 to 674 of the family's 1533-position model. The record is from RNAcentral.
AGGAAUCUGCCCUAGAGAGGGGGGUAACUUGAGGAAACUCAAGCUAAUACCGCAUAAUCUCUGAGGAGAAAAGCUGGGGCAACCUGGCGCUCUAGGAGGAGCCUACGUCUGAUUAGCUAGUUGGUGGGGUAAAGGCUCACCAAGGCGACGAUCAGUAGCUGGUCUGAGAGGAUGAUCAGCCACACUGGGACUGAGACACGGCCCAGACUCCUACGGGAGGCAGCAGUGGGGAAUAUUGGACAAUGGGGGCAACCCUGAUCCAGCAAUGCCGCGUGUGUGAAGAAGGCCUUAGGGUUGUAAAGCACUUUAGGUAGGGAAGAAGGUAUGUAUUUUAAGAGAUAACAUAUUUGACGGUACCUACAGAAUAAGCACCGGCUAACUCUGUGCCAGCAGCCGCGGUAAUACAGAGGGUGCGAGCGUUAAUCGGAAUUACUGGGCGUAAAGGGCGCGUAGGUGGUUACGUAAGUGAGAUGUGAAAUCCCCGGGCUCAACCUGAGAACUGCGUCUUAUACUGCGUAGCUUGAGUACAUGAGAGGGUAGUGGAAUUUCCGGU